GUACACUCCUGCGGGAGGCAGCAGUGGGGAAUAUUGCACAAUGGGCGCAAGCCUGAUGCAGCCAUGCCGCGUGUAUGAAGAAGGCCUUCGGGUUGUAAAGUACUUUCAGCGGGGAGGAAGGCGAUAAGGUUAAUAACCUUGUCGAUUGACGUUACCCGCAGAAGAAGCACCGGCUAACUCCGUGCCAGCAGCCGCGGUAAUACGGAGGGUGCAAGCGUUAAUCGGAAUUACUGGGCGUAAAGCGCACGCAGGCGGUCUGUCAAGUCGGAUGUGAAAUCCCCGGGCUCAACCUGGGAACUGCAUUCGAAACUGGCAGGCUAGAGUCUUGUAGAGGGGGGUAGAAUUCCAGGUGUAGCGGUGAAAUGCGUAGAGAUCUGGAGGAAUACCGGUGGCGAAGGCGGCCCCCUGGACAAAGACUGACGCUCAGGUGCGAAAGCGUGGGGAGCAAACAGGAUUAGAAACCCGUGUAGUCCC
RNAcentral lists this ribosomal RNA (474 nucleotides) under uncultured organism. RNAcentral's name for it is "partial 16S ribosomal RNA". It matches the Rfam family "Bacterial small subunit ribosomal RNA", at positions 331 to 797 of the family's 1533-position model. The record is from RNAcentral.